UCCCUGCUGAGUGCACAGCGAUCAGCCCCU
Molecule: non-coding RNA, 30 nt
Filed under: Homo sapiens (human)
Lineage: Eukaryota; Metazoa; Chordata; Mammalia; Primates; Hominidae
Source: RNAcentral